GACGAACGCUGGCGGCGUGCUUAACACAUGCAAGUCGAACGGAAAGGCCCUGCUUUUGUGGGGUGCUCGAGUGGCGAACGGGUGAGUAACACGUGAGUAACCUGCCCCUGACUUUGGGAUAACUUCAGGAAACUGGGGCUAAUACCGGAUAGGAGCUCCUGCUGCAUGGUGGGGGUUGGAAAGUUUCGGCGGUUGGGGAUGGACUCGCGGCUUAUCAGCUUGUUGGUGGGGUAGUGGCUUACCAAGGCUUCGACGGGUAGCCGGCCUGAGAGGGUGACCGGGCACAAUGGGACUGAGAUACGGCCCAGACUCCUACGGGAGGCAGCAGUGGGGAAUAUGGCACAAUGGGCGGAAGCCUGAUGCAGCAACGCCGCGUGCGGGAUGACGGCCUUCGGGUUGUAAACCGCUUUCGCCUGUGACGAAGCGUGAGUGACGGUAAUGGGUAAAGAAGCACCGGCUAACUACGUG
Molecule: ribosomal RNA, 468 nt
Filed under: uncultured bacterium
Lineage: Bacteria
Description: partial 16S ribosomal RNA
Rfam family: Bacterial small subunit ribosomal RNA
Source: RNAcentral